This 464-nucleotide ribosomal RNA is filed under the name Granulicatella adiacens. Its description in RNAcentral is "bacterial SSU rRNA". It matches the Rfam family "Bacterial small subunit ribosomal RNA", at positions 28 to 474 of the family's 1533-position model. The record is from RNAcentral. Lineage: Bacteria; Bacillati; Bacillota; Bacilli; Lactobacillales; Carnobacteriaceae.
GACGAACGCGGCGGCGUGCCUAAUACAUGCAAGUCGAACGAGAGCGACCGGUGCUUGCACUGGUCAAUCUAGUGGCGAACGGGUGAGUAACACGUGGGUAACCUGCCCAUCAGAGGGGGAUAACAUCCGGAAACGAAUGCUAAAACCGCAUAGGUCUUCGAACCGCAUGGUUUGAAGAGGAAAAGAGGCGCAAGCUUCUGCUGAUGGAUGGACCCGCGGUGCAUUAGCUAGUUGGUGAGGUAACGGCUCACCAAGGCCGUGAUGCAUAGCCGACCUGAGAGGGUGAUCGGCCACAUUGGGACUGAGACACGGCCCAAACUCCUACGGGAGGCAGCAGUAGGGAAUCUUCCGCAAUGGACGCAAGUCUGACGGAGCAACGCCGCGUGAGUGAAGAAGGUUUUCGGAUCGUAAAACUCUGUUGUUAGAGAAGAACAAGUGCUAGAGUAACUGUUAGCGCCUUGACG